This is a non-coding RNA of Otolemur garnettii (small-eared galago), 130 nucleotides long. The record is from Rfam. Lineage: Eukaryota; Metazoa; Chordata; Mammalia; Primates; Galagidae.
UGACCCCCAUGGCGCUGGCGGUCCUCGUGGCCUUCUGGGCCUAGCCGCCAUACGCCCCCCACCCCCACCAACGGCUUCCAACCACCCCUGCAGUUUAACCUUUUUGGGCGUUCCAACGCGGCGCCCCCUA